Molecule: ribosomal RNA, 253 nt
Filed under: uncultured bacterium
Lineage: Bacteria
Description: partial 16S ribosomal RNA
Rfam family: Bacterial small subunit ribosomal RNA
Source: RNAcentral
UACGGAGGGUGCAAGCGUUAUUCGGAAUUACUGGGCGUAAAGGGUGCGUAGGUGGUUGUAUAAGUUAUCCGUGAAAUCCCUGGGCUUAACCUAGGCAGGUCAGAUAAGACUGUAUGACUCGAGUAUAGGAGAGGGUAGUGGAAUUUCCGGUGUAGCGGUGAAAUGCGUAGAGAUCGGAAGGAACACCAGUGGCGAAGGCGGCUACCUGGCCUAAUACUGACACCGAGGCACGAAAGCGUGGGGAGCAAACAGG